AUAUCGGCAAAAGUUAAUAUCAGACAUUCCUAAUUUAAAGCUCAAUUAUAAACUGACUUUUGACUUUAUUGUCGUCAUUGUAAAGAGUAAAACCUGUCUGGAGUUUUAUACCUAUUACUUAUUAUUUCUUCAUUUUUAUUCAGGUCCUGGAAAAGACGGUUCAGUGCUAAGAGACCUUGAAACUCAAAUAGCGAGUUGUGGGACUGCUGUUGAUUCAGAGAACAUUUGCACCCUUCCUAUGAUUCUUGGAGAGGGAGAUCAAGGAUGCCCACUUCUGUGCAGGUCAGACAAUUCUUGGUUCCAAAUGGCUGUUAUUACAGUGAAUGGCAACCAAUCUGUCCGAGCGAACGUUCAGGUCUUCGCCAAAACCUCAAGAUUUGGAUCGUUCCUAAAGGAGACUGUUGGUAACGUGCCGUCUCCACAGUCAUCUGCACCAGGAAGAAUUCUAAGCUUCACCACUUUUCUGCUUUCUGUCGCUGUCACCUUGGUGUUCCUACUGUAAAGAUUAUUGCACUCAAAAAAAAAAA
Molecule: long non-coding RNA, 527 nt
Organism: Cynoglossus semilaevis (tongue sole)
Lineage: Eukaryota; Metazoa; Chordata; Actinopteri; Pleuronectiformes; Cynoglossidae
Exons: 2
Source: RefSeq, a predicted model, not a curated record